This 619-nucleotide ribosomal RNA is filed under the name uncultured bacterium. RNAcentral's name for it is "bacterial SSU rRNA". It matches the Rfam family "Bacterial small subunit ribosomal RNA", at positions 338 to 948 of the family's 1533-position model. The record is from RNAcentral.
CCUACGGGAGGCAGCAGUGGGGAAUUUUGGACAAUGGGCGCAAGCCUGAUCCAGCCAUGCCGCGUCUGGGAAGAAGGCCUUCGGGUUGUAAACCACUUUUGUCAGGGAAGAAACGGCUUUUUCUAAUACAGAGAGCUAAUGACGGUACCUGAAGAAUAAGCACCGGCUAACUACGUGCCAGCAGCCGCGGUAAUACGUAGGGUGCAAGCGUUAAUCGGAAUUACUGGGCGUAAAGCGUGCGCAGGCGGCUUUGCAAGACAGAUGUGAAAUCCCCGGGCUCAACCUGGGAACUGCAUUUGUGACUGCAUGGCUAGAGUACGGUAGAGGGGGAUGGAAUUCCGCGUGUAGCAGUGAAAUGCGUAGAUAUGCGGAGGAACACCGAUGGCGAAGGCAAUCCCCUGGACCUGUACUGACGCCCAUGCACGAAAGCGUGGGGAGCAAACAGGAUUAGAUACCCUGGUAGUCCACGCCCUAAACGAUGUCAACUGGUUGUUGGACGGCUUGCUGUUCAGUAACGAAGCUAACGCGUGAAGUUGACCGCCUGGGGAGUACGGCCGCAAGGUUGAAACUCGAAAUGAAUUGACGGCGNGAGAGNGCGAGACGACGACGAGGGAGGAGG